GGGGCUGAGCUCAAGCCGCUGCGCUCCGGCGAAGCGCUGGCCUGGAAAGCCGAGCCGCUGGUUUGAACGAGCUGGCGCAGGCUGUCGAUUGGCAGCAGCCCUGGCUGGCCCCG
RNAcentral lists this transfer RNA (113 nucleotides) under Polaromonas sp. RNAcentral describes it as "tRNA-Ser". Lineage: Bacteria; Pseudomonadati; Pseudomonadota; Betaproteobacteria; Burkholderiales; Comamonadaceae. The record is from RNAcentral.